This 429-nucleotide ribosomal RNA is filed under the name Actinomycetes bacterium. Its description in RNAcentral is "Actinobacteria bacterium partial 16S ribosomal RNA". It matches the Rfam family "Bacterial small subunit ribosomal RNA", at positions 355 to 776 of the family's 1533-position model. The record is from RNAcentral. Lineage: Bacteria; Bacillati; Actinomycetota; Actinomycetes.
UAGGGAAUCUUCCGCAAUGGGCGAAAGCCUGACGGAGCAACGCCGCGUGAGUGAUGAAGGUCUUCGGAUCGUAAAACUCUGUUAUUAGGGAAGAACAAAUGUGUAAGUAACUAUGCACGUCUUGACGGUACCUAAUCAGAAAGCCACGGCUAACUACGUGCCAGCAGCCGCGGUAAUACGUAGGUGGCAAGCGUUAUCCGGAAUUAUUAGGCGUAACGCGCGCGUAGGCGGUUUUUUAAGUCUGAUGUGAAAGCCCACGGCUCAACCGUGGAGGGUCAUUGGAAACUGGAAAACUUGAGUGCAGAAGAGGAAAGUGGAAUUCCAUGUGUAGCGGUGAAAUGCGCAGAGAUAUGGAGGAACACCAGUGGCGAAGGCGACUUUCUGGUCUGUAACUGAAGCUGAUGUGCGAAAGCGUGGGGAUCAAGCAGA